RNAcentral lists this ribosomal RNA (665 nucleotides) under uncultured Lachnospiraceae bacterium. RNAcentral describes it as "bacterial SSU rRNA". It matches the Rfam family "Bacterial small subunit ribosomal RNA", at positions 78 to 753 of the family's 1533-position model. The record is from RNAcentral. Lineage: Bacteria; Bacillati; Bacillota; Clostridia; Lachnospirales; Lachnospiraceae.
CUUCGGUCGAUUUAAUUUAAUUCUAGUGGCGGACGGGUGAGUAACGCGUGGGUAACCUGCCUUAUACAGGGGGAUAACAGUCAGAAAUGGCUGCUAAUACCGCAUAAGCGCACAGAGCUGCAUGGCUCAGUGUGAAAAACUCCGGUGGUAUAAGAUGGACCCGCGUUGGAUUAGCUAGUUGGUGGGGUAACGGCCCACCAAGGCGACGAUCCAUAGCCGGCCUGAGAGGGUGAACGGCCACAUUGGGACUGAGACACGGCCCAGACUCCUACGGGAGGCAGCAGUGGGGAAUAUUGCACAAUGGGGGAAACCCUGAUGCAGCGACGCCGCGUGAAGGAAGAAGUAUCUCGGUAUGUAAACUUCUAUCAGCAGGGAAGAUAGUGACGGUACCUGACUAAGAAGCCCCGGCUAACUACGUGCCAGCAGCCGCGGUAAUACGUAGGGGGCAAGCGUUAUCCGGAUUUACUGGGUGUAAAGGGAGCGUAGACGGUGUGGCAAGUCUGAUGUGAAAGGCAUGGGCUCAACCUGUGGACUGCAUUGGAAACUGUCAUACUUGAGUGCCGGAGGGGUAAGCGGAAUUCCUAGUGUAGCGGUGAAAUGCGUAGAUAUUAGGAGGAACACCAGUGGCGAAGGCGGCUUACUGGACGGUAACUGACGUUGAGGCU